This 406-nucleotide ribosomal RNA is filed under the name uncultured bacterium. RNAcentral describes it as "partial 16S ribosomal RNA". It matches the Rfam family "Bacterial small subunit ribosomal RNA", at positions 30 to 526 of the family's 1533-position model. The record is from RNAcentral.
AUUGAACGCUGGCGGCAGGCCUAACACAUGCAAGUCGAGCGAGUCGCAGACGGGAGUGUAAUGUCUGGAACACCGCCUGAGGGAGGGGUAUCACUACUGGAAACGGUCGCAAAUACCGCAUACCAUCGGAUGUGCCCAGAUGGGAUUAGCUAGUAGGUGGGGUAACGGCUCACCUAGGCGACGACCCCUAGCGGGUCUGAGAGGAUGACCAGCCACACUGGAACUGAGACACGGUCCAGACUCCUACGUGAGGCAGCAGUGGGGAAUAUUGCACAAUGGGCGCAAGCCUGAUGCAGCCAUGCCGCGUGUGUGAAGAAGGCCUUCGGGUUGUAAAGUACUUUCAGCGGGGAGGCGUUACCCGCAGAAGAAGCACCGGCUAACUCCGUGCCAGCAGCCGCGGUAAUAC